UUUUUCUUCCGCUCCCAAUCGUCAUCUCUCGUUUCUCAAUUGUUUUUUUUUUCUUCUUUUUUCUCUGUUCUUCAUCAUACCAAACCCUAGAUCUAAUUUUUCCACCACAAAAAGAUUGAGGCGGCAACAGAAGAUCCCGGCGCUAAUUAUUUUUCUUCCGCUCCCAAUCGUCAUCUCUCGUUUCUCAAUUGUUUUUUUUCUUCUCUUUUCUCUGUUCUUCAUCCUACCAAACCCUAGAUCUAAUUUUUCCACCACAAAAAAAUUGAGGCGGCAACAGAAGAUCCCGGCGGCAGGAAUCGACAAACACAAACGGUAAAGGAUUCAAAGGACUAGCAGCAGGACACCGAUGGAGAUCUACAAAUUAUCCCACGCCGUCCAUGUUCUCACCACAGCCGCCGCCCUCCGUCAAAAUCGCCGCCGCCGUCCUUGCCAAAACCGCAACUGUUGAAUAUCUACAAAUUAACCGGUAUAAUUUAUGGAUCUGAAUUUUCAAUUAUAUUAUUUUAUUUUAUUUUAAUUUUUUUUAGUUAAAUGGUUAUAAUAGCGUGAAAAUUAGAAAAAAAAAAUAACAUUAGAUUCUCCGAGUACCUAAUACAAGGAUGAACUAAAGGAGUAAAUCGUUAUUCGCACAAAUUAUAAUCCUAAUGCCAAAAAAAAAACGAGUUUUUUGGUUGAUGGUCAGUGUUGUUCCUAAGCCAAAGUCCGUUUUAAUAGCUACUUUUUUUUUUCCCUCCAAUGUUCUACAAUAGUUAUAUUAUUUUGUUUGUUAUGAAUGCAUAUAUUUCAAUUAUCAUGCAUUUUAUUAAUUUUUGUGAGUUUUUGUUUUUUCGUAUCCUAGUGCAUGUUUGUAUGCAUUUGUAUGCAUUGACAAUUGUGGAUUGGCAUGAUAAGAGUUGUGAUUUAUAUUUUUUUUUGUGUUUCAUGUUGUUCGAAUUCGUUUUAUUUAUUUGAUAAUGUAUGAGUGUUCGUACCAUUUGGUUGUUAUGAAUUUUAACAAUAAAAUACCAUAAUAGUCACGUAUAGUCGCUUAACUACACCUGUUAUGUUUGCAAACACUUGUGCUCAUAGUCACAUAUAGUUAUAUAUUGUGUUUUACUUGCCGGGGGUUGAGGUAUCUUUCUCCCUAUUCAUCUACUUCACUUGAUCUUAGUUUGUUUUCUGAAGUUUUCUGGUGUAAAAUUCAGUUUGCAACCAAAAGAAUCGAUGAUGCUGAAUAAGAUGGGCAAAAAGCAGGCUAAUUGAAGAGAAUCAACUCUAUAGUCAUAUAUAGUCAUAUUGUAGUCAUAUUGUAGUUAUAUGUAGGCGUGCAUAGUCAUAUAUACGACAUAUAUGUUUUUUUUCUAAUGUACAAUGAUGUAGAUGGUUGUUUAUAGUUGAAGAAUUCAUACACACAAUUUUUUGAUGUAUUUGUGUCGCUACAGGUGGAUUUGUAAUAACAAGGUUCAAAUUGUAAUUUUUUGUGUGGAUGUUGAUUGGAUUGUUUUCGUAUAUAAUGGGCAAUCUUCGUG
This 1508-nucleotide long non-coding RNA is filed under the name Erythranthe guttata (spotted monkey flower). Its description in RNAcentral is "long non-coding RNA (EGUT_LNC003437)". The record is from RNAcentral. Lineage: Eukaryota; Viridiplantae; Streptophyta; Magnoliopsida; Lamiales; Phrymaceae.